UGGGGAAUUUUGGACAAUGGGCGCAAGCCUGAUCUAGCAAUGCCGCGUGCAGGAUGAAGGCCUUCGGGUUGUAAACUGCUUUUGUACGGUACGAAACGGCUCUGGUUAAUACCUGGGGCUAAUGACGGUACCGUAAGAAUAAGCACCGGCUAACUACGUGCCAGCAGCCGCGGUAAUACGUAGGGUGCGAGCGUUAAUCGGAAUUACUGGGCGUAAAGCGUGCGCAGGCGGUGAUGUAAGACAGAUGUGAAAUCCCCGGGCUCAACCUGGGACCUGCAUUUGUGACUGUAUAGCUAGAGUACGGUAGAGGGGGAUGGAAUUCCGCGUGUAGCAGUGAAAUGCGUAGAUAUGCGGAGGAACACCGAUGGCGGAGGCAAUCCCCUGGACCUGUACUGACGCUCAUGCACGAAAGCGUGGGGAGCAAACA
Molecule: ribosomal RNA, 427 nt
Filed under: uncultured bacterium
Lineage: Bacteria
Description: bacterial SSU rRNA
Rfam family: Bacterial small subunit ribosomal RNA
Source: RNAcentral